This 871-nucleotide unclassified non-coding RNA is filed under the name Hevea brasiliensis (rubber tree). Lineage: Eukaryota; Viridiplantae; Streptophyta; Magnoliopsida; Malpighiales; Euphorbiaceae. The record is from RNAcentral.
GAGUAAUAUUAAAUUUCCAAUAAAUAUUAAAAAAAAAUCAAAUAAAUGGAUUCUCUCACAAAUAUUUAAUUACAUUAAUGCUCUUAAAAAAACAUUUAAUAUUCAAUCAGCAUACUCCCAAAUUUAACAAAAAUUGCCUCAUCUACCACCUACCAUCAAUUCUACAUAAGAAAUGAGAAUUCCAGUUUUCGCAACAGAUUUCACUAAUCUCCGGCUUUAGACAUGAUGGAAAGCCGGCUGGGUCUCGUCUCGAAAGCGGCUCGACGCCGAAGAUGAUGCGAAGAAGGACGAAUCAGAGCCGACAAUGCUCUCUUCACUAGCUCUCCCUCCACACCUCCGAUCCUCACAAGCGAAUUCGUCAUCGCCGAUCGCCUAAAGUUCAAUCUACUACUUGAGUGAUAUGACGCUGAUUGUGUACUGCUGCUGUGAUGGUCAUAGCCAUUAUUUCUCAUUAAUGACCUGUGGAAGGCGCACCGGAAGGAGCCGGGAUGCGUCGUAGGGGAACACGCGCACGUUCUCUUCUGAUUGGACACUGCAUUGGCAUUGGAGGUGUGCCUUUUGAUGGAAAUCGAACGGUUAGGAGAGAUUGAACGAUCGAUUGAUAAACGCAAGGACGACGAAGAUUGAUGGUUGUUCUGGCGAUGGUGGUGACUGUACAUGUUCACUCGUGUGGGGGAGUUGGCACGUGCAAAUAAAGUGGCGGAGGUAGAAGAGGAGGAGCUAGAUGUGAAACUGGAAGCGGUUGAUGAAGCGAAAGAAGACGACGACGAUGACAUCAAUGGUGGUGGCAUGCGGCACGUGCAAUGAGUAUGACCAUUCGAUUUGUUUCUAUACAUGGCCAUUGUUGCAUCAGAGACAAGCAAGAAAUGAA